Molecule: unclassified non-coding RNA, 281 nt
Filed under: uncultured Glomerales
Lineage: Eukaryota; Fungi; Glomeromycota; Glomeromycetes; Glomerales; Glomeraceae
Description: sequence contains 5.8S rRNA gene, ITS2, 28S rRNA gene
Rfam family: 5.8S ribosomal RNA (bases 1-53)
Source: RNAcentral
GAACGCAAAUUGCACUCUCUGGUAUUCCGGAGAGUAUGCCUGUUUGAGGGUCAGUCAAAUAAAAAUCGAUGUUGUUGUCACCGUGAUAACGCGUCGGAAUUGAGUCGUCUUACCUUCGGUUAAGUGACUUAAAAUUUUUACGCGAAUUCGAAACGUAUUUAAUGUUUAUGUACGUUUGCGAUAUUCCAACAUUUUUAUUAGGUGCGGUCAUUCCUAUGAUUCGCGUCUAUAAUUUUUCAUUUCUUGACCUCAAAUCAGGUAAGAGUACCCGCUGAACUUAA